This 68-nucleotide transfer RNA is filed under the name Tregellasia leucops (white-faced robin). Its description in RNAcentral is "tRNA-Ala". It matches the Rfam family "tRNA". Rfam says of the family: Transfer RNA (tRNA) molecules are approximately 80 nucleotides in length. Their secondary structure includes four short double-helical elements and three loops (D, anti-codon, and T loops). Lineage: Eukaryota; Metazoa; Chordata; Aves; Passeriformes; Petroicidae. The record is from RNAcentral.
AAGUCCUAGCUUAAUUAAAGCGCCUGGGUUGCAUUCAGGAGAUGUGGGGUAGUGUCCUACGGAUUUUA